CCUACGGGGGGCAGCAGUGAGGAAUAUUGGUCAAUGGCCGUAAGGCUGAACCAGCCAAGUCGCGUGAAGGAAGAAGGAUCUAUGGUUUGUAAACUUCUUUUAUAGGGGAAUAAAGGUAUCCACGUGUGGAUAUUUGCAUGUACCCUAUGAAUAAGCAUCGGCUAACUCCGUGCCAGCAGCCGCGGUAAUACGGAGGAUGCGAGCGUUAUCCGGAUUUAUUGGGUUUAAAGGGUGCGUAGGUUGUUUUUUAAGUCAGCGGUGAAAGUUUGUGGCUCAACCAUAAAAUUGCCGUUGAAACUGGAAGACUUGAGUGUGUUUGAGGUAGGCGGAAUGCGUGGUGUAGCGGUGAAAUGCAUAGAUAUCACGCAGAACUCCGAUUGCGAAGGCAGCUUACUAAACUGUGACUGACAUUGAUGCUCGAAAGUGUGGGUAUCAAACAGGAUUAGAUACCCUUGUAGUC
This 460-nucleotide ribosomal RNA is filed under the name uncultured bacterium. Its description in RNAcentral is "partial 16S ribosomal RNA". It matches the Rfam family "Bacterial small subunit ribosomal RNA", at positions 338 to 795 of the family's 1533-position model. The record is from RNAcentral.